This 257-nucleotide unclassified non-coding RNA is filed under the name uncultured fungus. RNAcentral describes it as "sequence contains ITS2". The stretch from base 1 to 52 matches the Rfam family "5.8S ribosomal RNA", at positions 103 to 154 of the family's 154-position model. The record is from RNAcentral. Lineage: Eukaryota; Fungi.
AACGCACAUUGCGCCCGCCAGUAUUCUGGCGGGCAUGCCUGUUCGAGCGUCAUUUCAACCCUCAAGCUCAGCUUGGUGUUGGGGAUCGGCAAGGCGUCCUCCGGGUCGCGCCGUCCCCCAAAUAUAGUGGCGGUCUCGCUGUAGCUUCCUCUGCGUAGUAAUACACCUCGCUCUGGAGUCUCGGUGCGGCCACGCCGUAAAACCCCCAACUUUUUCUGGUUGACCUCGAAUCAGGUAGGACUACCCGCUGAACUUAA